This 934-nucleotide long non-coding RNA is filed under the name Marmota monax (woodchuck). The record is from RNAcentral. Lineage: Eukaryota; Metazoa; Chordata; Mammalia; Rodentia; Sciuridae.
CUCAGCUGACUCUUACCAAUAGGUAGGAACAAGGUCAGUUUGACCUGCUUGGUCUUAAACACCUAGCAAAAACAGUUAAAAACCUAAGCACAGCCAUUCCUGGGCAUUUAAAAAGAAUUCUUAGGCAAAAAUGCCUGAUAACUAUCAAUAAAAAACUGUCAGAAGUUUUUAGUCAGUUUAAGGCCUACAGAUCUUCCUAACUUCCUACAUAGGUAGAUGUAAUCAAUGUUUAUUAAUAUAAUUAUCUAGCCAUAAGUAACAAAAGCAUCUUUACUGAACACAGAGGUCAUGCCAAAAAUGUGUUUUUACAAAAACCAGAUGACAUUAACUAAUUUAACUAAAUGUUGUGUCUACAUUCCUGAUAAUUCUGUCAAUGUUAAAGAUUUAUGUUCCCUAAAAAAGUGCCUUAUUAGGCUUUGUUAGGCCUUGUUAUGGGGACAAUUUCUCAGGUACUUCUUUCACCUCCUGGUAAACAAUUAUUAAUUUCUGUCAUUUUCAUGAUAUUCAUGGAUAGGUUCCAGAUGCUACAACUGCUAUUUUGUAUUAAUCUUAAUUCAGCACUCAUGUCUUUUUGUUUCUCUCAUAGAAGUGCCCACCCCAGGUGAACCAUGGACUCCUUGACCCACUCAGUUUCUAAAAAUGGCCCUCAGCCAUCAAAUAAAUAUAGAUUUAGGAAAACUAGAAAAGUCAAUCUCCAAACUAGAAGUUUCACUAGACUGUCUGACAGAAAUAGUCUUACAAAACAGAUGAGGUCUAGAUGGUCUCUUUCUGAAACAAGGAGGACUUUGUAUGGCUCCAGGAGAAACUUGUUUCUAUGCAAACCAUUCUGGGAUAAUGAAGGACAGUUUGGUGCUUGUGAGAAACAGGUUAAAGGAAAGAGAUGAAGCACUAGAAACUUCAGGCAAUUGGUUCCAAAACCUAUUAUCAUGGUCCC